AUACUUUUAAAAAAUAUUCCCAGAAAAAAACACCAUUAUAAAUAGAUAUUCCAACUCUUCAUUUCCGUUCCAGGUGGUGUACGGGCUGAACACUCGCGGAGAAGAAUUGGAAUCGCAAUUAGCAUCGGUUCGCGAGGCGGAAGAGAACCUGAAAUCGGCGAACGCGGAGUUGCAACACCGCGCCACACACUAUAAACUCAAAUAUGACUCGGAGAUUGGGAAACUGCGAGAUAUGGAGCAGCAAGUGACCCAAGCGCAGUAUUGGAAAAUGGAAUGCGAGAAUCUCAAAAGAAGACUGGACCUCGAG
This is a long non-coding RNA of Penaeus monodon (black tiger shrimp), 307 nucleotides long. RefSeq lists it as uncharacterized. The transcript is spliced from 3 exons. The record is from RefSeq and is a predicted model, not a curated record. NCBI's taxonomy places the organism in Eukaryota, Metazoa, Arthropoda, Malacostraca, Decapoda, Penaeidae.